GACGAACGCUGGCGGCGUGCUUAACACAUGCAAGUCGAACGGAAAGGCCCUGCUUUUGUGGGGUGCUCGAGUGGCGAACGGGUGAGUAACACGUGAGUAACCUGCCCUUGACUUUGGGAUAACUUCAGGAAACUGGGGCUAAUACCGGAUAGGAUCUCCUGCUGCAUGGUGGGGGAUGGAAAGUUUCGGCGGUUGGGGAUGGACUCGCGGCUUAUCAGCUUGUUGGUGGGGUAGUGGCUUACCAAGGCUUUGACGGGUAGCCGGCCUGAGAGGGUGACCGGCCACAUUGGGACUGAGAUACGGCCCAGACGCCUACGGGAGGCAGCAGUGGAGAAUAUUGCACAAUGGGCGGAAGCCUGAUGCGGCAACGCCGCGUGCGGGAUGACGGGCUUCGGGUUGUAAACUGCUUUCGCCUGUGACGAAGAGUGAGUGACGGUAAUGGGUAAAGAAGCACCGGCUAACUACGUG
Molecule: ribosomal RNA, 468 nt
Filed under: uncultured bacterium
Lineage: Bacteria
Description: partial 16S ribosomal RNA
Rfam family: Bacterial small subunit ribosomal RNA
Source: RNAcentral